CGACCCACCCCAACAGCGAUCUCCCAUAGUCUCAUCCCGUUUCCCACGCUUGCUUUAGCAAAUAAAGAUAACCGACCUGGCCUCCCCAUCCCGUCGCAGCGCGGCGCCGCGGCCCUCCCCUAUCUCCUCCGGUGAGCGCCGCUCCGGCCGACGCGCAACUCCCUCCGACGGCGGAGCUCGGUGAUUUCGGUGAGGAGACGAGGAGGAGGAGGAGCUCUGCUGGUGUGGAGGAAGGCAGGGGCGGAGGAGGAGAACGACGACUGGAUCUCAACCACGGAACCGGCCGCCCAACCACAGCGGCGGAACCUUCCGCUGCCGCACUCCACCGCGGAAGCAGCAGCAGCCACCCUCCAGUCGGCGAGCUCCAGCCCCAAGAGUUGAAUUGACCGCCCCCUCGAUCUUGAUCCUCUAAUCAACAACGAUUCUUUUUUUUUUUCUUCGUCUCCCGGCGGCGGCAAGAGGCCCCCCCCCCCCCCCCCCCCCCAAUUCUCAGCCGGGUUGACUCUCCGCGAGCAUUUUAGCUUGCCAUCCUCAUGAACUAAGCGAACUCCUGUUAGUGUUACUCCAUUUUGUGUGAGGUGACAAUGGCCGCUCUUCACGUGUUUGAUCAAAUGCCUUUUGCAUCUUUCAGGUUUUCCAUGGCUUCACAUUGCAUAUUUUGCUUCUUUGAAGUGAUUGCUCGGUUAUUCCAUUACAGCUCAGAGGAAGGGCUCUUGGAGAUAUCCAAGGCAAAUGUAGAAUGGUAAAAUACAUGGGGAUGCACUAUUUCAAGUUCAAUGGCAGCUCUUUGCCUAGGCAGGUAUCAGCUUGCUCUGAGAUCGACCCAUCAGGGGGAGAUCAGAAGUAAAUUCUUGGAGAAACCAAUUGCACAGAAAUAGGUAAUAAAAGAUUAUCUGUGAGUCACCAAAGAAAAAAAACGUAGGUAUAUAUUCCAUGCCGCUGCACCUACAAAAAAGAACAGCAGAUGUGGUUUGGUCAGUAGCUGAAAGAAACAUUAAGAAAACAUACCUGAAUGUUCAGAAGGAGUACUUUCAGCCUGCAGAAGUGCAGAUGGACAACAGCAUGUGUUAGCAUACCUGUUUCUUUACCUUAAAAAAAAACAUAAACUGUUUCCUGUCCCUGUUGUAGAUAUGCUCUUCUUUGUUCCAUUGCUAGAUUAUUUUUUUUAAAUAUAACUUUAUUGUUUAUGUAGAGCACAGCUAUACAUAUCACCGAGCAAUGUGUAAAAAAUAUGUCAGCAUGGUCUUUAUUAUUUUUUAGAAUCAGUUGCACUAAAACCACACAAAAAUUUAGGAACGGAGGGAGUACUUACAAAUAUACAUGAACCUUGGCUAGACUGCUAGAGUAUCACAUGCCACUCAUAAAUCAUGAUUCCACAAGCCAUUUCCAAUUCAGAAUCAUGCAAAAGGCUGUCUGUGUUCAGGAAUAUGCUCAUUUCAGCAGAAAAAAAAUCAACUGGAGACAACUGAAGCAAGAGGAAGAACCAUGCAUAUUCUAUGAAGAAUACUGUCAUUAGUUCACCACAAAGAACAAGUUACAUAUGUGCCCUAUCCUCACCCAGAAAGACACAGAACAUCAGAAUAUUUUUUUCAGUGUGUUUUGGUUGAAAGACAGAUGCUAUAAAGGUUCUUUUCACUUCGUCAAGUAAAAUGUCUAAGGCGUGAUAUUCAACUAUUUGCUGAUGAUGUGUGCAAGCUACUUCAAUGGAUUUUUUUUUUGAGGCUGACAAUAUGCUAGGAUAGAUAGAAAGAUCAUCACAGGCUACAGAAACAAUCAAGGAGCAUAGUCAAGAAAGUAAGUACAAGUCUGGUUGUAGGCAGUGUCCUUGUAAUAUGAGAGACAUUCCUUUCUUUGUAAAUUUAUAAUCGUGCAAUUAAAUUGAUAGGUAAAUUUUAAAUGAGUGGCACUUGGAUACAUAAUCUUAGCCACCGGACGAUCAAACGUUCUUCAAUUUGUGGUGUAUGUUUUUUAGACCAGACCACAUCUUUGAAUAUUUGUUGUACAAUUUAAAGAGAAAAAAGUUGUUUGAUGCGUA
Long non-coding RNA from Brachypodium distachyon (stiff brome), 2035 nucleotides. RefSeq lists it as uncharacterized. Lineage: Eukaryota; Viridiplantae; Streptophyta; Magnoliopsida; Poales; Poaceae. The transcript has 2 exons. The record is from RefSeq and is a predicted model, not a curated record.